UCCUACGGGGCGCAGCAGUGAGGAAUAUUGGUCAAUGGCCGGAAGGCUGAACCAGCCAAGCCGCGUGAAGGACGAAGGUGCCAAGCAUUGUAAACUUCUUUUGUCAAGGGACAAAAUCAGGCUCGAGAGCCUGACCGAGGGUACUUGAAGAAAAAGCAUCGGCUAACUCCGUGCCAGCAGCCGCGGUAAUACGGAGGAUGCGAGCGUUAUCCGGAUUUAUUGGGUUUAAAGGGUGCGUAGGCGGUUUUUUAAGUUAGUGGUUAAACGUCGGGGCUUCACCUUGAUUUGCCAUUAAUACUGUAAGA
This 305-nucleotide ribosomal RNA is filed under the name uncultured bacterium. RNAcentral's name for it is "bacterial SSU rRNA". It matches the Rfam family "Bacterial small subunit ribosomal RNA", at positions 337 to 640 of the family's 1533-position model. The record is from RNAcentral.